CCCUUAGAUGUUCUGGGCUGCACGCGCGCUACACUGAAGCUAUCAACACGUUUUCCCUCCCUGAGAAGGGCGGGUAACCUUUUGAAUCAGCUUCGUGGUAGGGAUCGGGGCUUGCAAUUGUUCCCCGUGAACCAGGAAUUCCUAGUAGACGCGAGUCAUAAGCUCGCAUCGAUUAAGUCCCUGCCCUUUGUACACACCGCCCGUCGCUACUACCGAUUGAACGUUUUAGUGAGGCAUUUGGACCGACGCAUCUCAGUUUAACCGCUGGUUUGUGUUGGAAAGACUUCCAAACUUGAGCGUUUAGAGGAAGUAGAAGUCGUAACA
Molecule: ribosomal RNA, 324 nt
Filed under: uncultured eukaryote
Lineage: Eukaryota
Description: partial 18S ribosomal RNA
Rfam family: Eukaryotic small subunit ribosomal RNA
Source: RNAcentral